This 611-nucleotide ribosomal RNA is filed under the name uncultured archaeon. RNAcentral describes it as "bacterial SSU rRNA". It matches the Rfam family "Archaeal small subunit ribosomal RNA", at positions 187 to 798 of the family's 1478-position model. The record is from RNAcentral.
AUGGAUUCGUCUGCCCAAGGAUGGGUCUGCGGCCUAUCAGGUAGUAGUGGGUGUAAUGUACCUACUAGCCGACGACGGGUACGGGGUUGUGAGAGCAAGAGCCCGGAGAUGGACUCUGAGACAUGAAUCCAGACCCUACGGGGCGCAGCAGGCGCGAAAACUUUACAAUGCGGGAAACCGUGAUAAGGGGACACCGAGUGCCAGCAUCAUAUGCUGGCUGUCCAGGUGUGUAAAAUACACCUGUUAGCAAGGGCCGGGCAAGACCGGUGCCAGCCGCCGCGGUAACACCGGCGGCCCGAGUGGUGAUCGUGAUUAUUGGGUCUAAAGGGUCCGUAGCCGGUUUGGUCAGUCCUCCGGGAAAUCUGAUAGCUCAACUAUUAGGCUUCCGGGGGAUACUGCCAGACUUGGAACCGGGAGAGGUAAGAGGUACUACAGGGGUAGGAGUGAAAUCUUGUAAUCCCUGUGGGACCACCUGUGGCGAAGGCGUCUUACCAGAACGGGUUCGACGGUGAGGGACGAAAGCUGGGGGCACGAACCGGAUUAGAUACCCGGGUAGUCCUAGCCGUAAAUGAUGCUCGCUUUAGGUGUUCUUUGUACGGGGAAAAAGUGUG